GGGUUGUGAGGUUAAGCGACUAAGCGUACACGGUGGAUGCCCUGGCAGUCAGAGGCGAUGAAGGACGUGCUAAUCUGCGAUAAGCGUCGGUAAGGUGAUAUGAACCGUUAUAACCGGCGAUUUCCGAAUGGGGAAACCCAGUGUGUUUCGACACACUAUCAUUAACUGAAUCCAUAGGUUAAUGAGGCGAACCGGGGGAACUGAAACAUCUAAGUACCCCGAGGAAAAGAAAUCAACCGAGAUUCCCCCAGUAGCGGCGAGCGAACGGGGAGCAGCCCAGAGCCUGAAUCAGUGUGUGUGUUAGUGGAAGCGUCUGGAAAGGCGCGCGAUACAGGGUGACAGCCCCGUACACAAAAAUGCACAUGCUGUGAGCUCGAUGAGUAGGGCGGGACACGUGGUAUCCUGUCUGAAUAUGGGGGGACCAUCCUCCAAGGCUAAAUACUCCUGACUGACCGAUAGUGAACCAGUACCGUGAGGGAAAGGCGAAAAGAACCCCGGCGAGGGGAGUGAAAAAGAACCUGAAACCGUGUACGUACAAGCAGUGGGAGCCUCUUUAUGGGGUGACUGCGUACCUUUUGUAUAAUGGGUCAGCGACUUAUAUUCUGUAGCAAGGUUAACCGAAUAGGGGAGCCGAAGGGAAACCGAGUCUUAACUGGGCGUUAAGUUGCAGGGUAUAGACCCGAAACCCGGUGAUCUAGCCAUGGGCAGGUUGAAGGUUGGGUAACACUAACUGGAGGACCGAACCGACUAAUGUUGAAAAAUUAGCGGAUGACUUGUGGCUGGGGGUGAAAGGCCAAUCAAACCGGGAGAUAGCUGGUUCUCCCCGAAAGCUAUUUAGGUAGCGCCUCGUGAAUUCAUCUCCGGGGGUAGAGCACUGUUUCGGCAAGGGGGUCAUCCCGACUUACCAACCCGAUGCAAACUGCGAAUACCGGAGAAUGUUAUCACGGGAGACACACGGCGGGUGCUAACGUCCGUCGUGAAGAGGGAAACAACCCAGACCGCCAGCUAAGGUCCCAAAGUCAUGGUUAAGUGGGAAACGAUGUGGGAAGGCCCAGACAGCCAGGAUGUUGGCUUAGAAGCAGCCAUCAUUUAAAGAAAGCGUAAUAGCUCACUGGUCGAGUCGGCCUGCGCGGAAGAUGUAACGGGGCUAAACCAUGCACCGAAGCUGCGGCAGCGACGCUUAUGCGUUGUUGGGUAGGGGAGCGUUCUGUAAGCCUGUGAAGGUGUGCUGUGAGGCAUGCUGGAGGUAUCAGAAGUGCGAAUGCUGACAUAAGUAACGAUAAAGCGGGUGAAAAGCCCGCUCGCCGGAAGACCAAGGGUUCCUGUCCAACGUUAAUCGGGGCAGGGUGAGUCGACCCCUAAGGCGAGGCCGAAAGGCGUAGUCGAUGGGAAACAGGUUAAUAUUCCUGUACUUGGUGUUACUGCGAAGGGGGGACGGAGAAGGCUAUGUUGGCCGGGCGACGGUUGUCCCGGUUUAAGCGUGUAGGCUGGUUUUCCAGGCAAAUCCGGAAAAUCAAGGCUGAGGCGUGAUGACGAGGCACUACGGUGCUGAAGCAACAAAUGCCCUGCUUCCAGGAAAAGCCUCUAAGCAUCAGGUAACAUCAAAUCGUACCCCAAACCGACACAGGUGGUCAGGUAGAGAAUACCAAGGCGCUUGAGAGAACUCGGGUGAAGGAACUAGGCAAAAUGGUGCCGUAACUUCGGGAGAAGGCACGCUGAUAUGUAGGUGAAGCGACUUGCUCGUGGAGCUGAAAUCAGUCGAAGAUACCAGCUGGCUGCAACUGUUUAUUAAAAACACAGCACUGUGCAAACACGAAAGUGGACGUAUACGGUGUGACGCCUGCCCGGUGCCGGAAGGUUAAUUGAUGGGGUUAGCGGUAACGCGAAGCUCUUGAUCGAAGCCCCGGUAAACGGCGGCCGUAACUAUAACGGUCCUAAGGUAGCGAAAUUCCUUGUCGGGUAAGUUCCGACCUGCACGAAUGGCGUAAUGAUGGCCAGGCUGUCUCCACCCGAGACUCAGUGAAAUUGAACUCGCUGUGAAGAUGCAGUGUACCCGCGGCAAGACGGAAAGACCCCGUGAACCUUUACUAUAGCUUGACACUGAACAUUGAGCCUUGAUGUGUAGGAUAGGUGGGAGGCUUUGAAGUGUGGACGCCAGUCUGCAUGGAGCCGACCUUGAAAUACCACCCUUUAAUGUUUGAUGUUCUAACGUUGACCCGUAAUCCGGGUUGCGGACAGUGUCUGGUGGGUAGUUUGACUGGGGCGGUCUCCUCCUAAAGAGUAACGGAGGAGCACGAAGGUUGGCUAAUCCUGGUCGGACAUCAGGAGGUUAGUGCAAUGGCAUAAGCCAGCUUGACUGCGAGCGUGACGGCGCGAGCAGGUGCGAAAGCAGGUCAUAGUGAUCCGGUGGUUCUGAAUGGAAGGGCCAUCGCUCAACGGAUAAAAGGUACUCCGGGGAUAACAGGCUGAUACCGCCCAAGAGUUCAUAUCGACGGCGGUGUUUGGCACCUCGAUGUCGGCUCAUCACAUCCUGGGGCUGAAGUAGGUCCCAAGGGUAUGGCUGUUCGCCAUUUAAAGUGGUACGCGAGCUGGGUUUAGAACGUCGUGAGACAGUUCGGUCCCUAUCUGCCGUGGGCGCUGGAGAACUGAGGGGGGCUGCUCCUAGUACGAGAGGACCGGAGUGGACGCAUCACUGGUGUUCGGGUUGUCAUGCCAAUGGCACUGCCCGGUAGCUAAAUGCGGAAGAGAUAAGUGCUGAAAGCAUCUAAGCACGAAACUUGCCCCGAGAUGAGUUCUCCCUGACUCCUUGAGAGUCCUGAAGGAACGUUGAAGACGACGACGUUGAUAGGCCGGGUGUGUAAGCGCAGCGAUGCGUUGAGCUAACCGGUACUAAUGAACCGUGAGGCUUAACCUUACAACGCCGAAGCUGUU
Molecule: ribosomal RNA, 2931 nt
Filed under: Escherichia coli
Lineage: Bacteria; Pseudomonadati; Pseudomonadota; Gammaproteobacteria; Enterobacterales; Enterobacteriaceae
Description: bacterial LSU rRNA
Rfam family: Bacterial large subunit ribosomal RNA
Source: RNAcentral